This 477-nucleotide ribosomal RNA is filed under the name uncultured bacterium. RNAcentral describes it as "bacterial SSU rRNA". It matches the Rfam family "Bacterial small subunit ribosomal RNA", at positions 365 to 832 of the family's 1533-position model. The record is from RNAcentral.
UUCGCAAUGCCCGAAAGGGUGACGAAGCGACGCCGCGUGGGUGAGGAAGGCCUUCGGGUUGUAAAGCCCUGUCAGGAGUUAAGAAAUGUAGGUGCGCUAAUAUCGUGCCUAUUUGACAAAGGCUCCAAAGGAAGCCACGGCUAACUCUGUGCCAGCAGCCGCGGUAAUACAGAGGUGGCAAGCGUUGUUCGGAAUUAUUGGGCGUAAAGAGCACGUAGGUGGGUUUGUAAGUCAGAUGUGAAAGCCUUCUGUUCAACGGAAGAAUUGCAUCUGAAACUGCGAGUCUUGAGUGUAGGAGGGGAGAAUGGAACUUCUGGUGGAGCGGUGAAAUGCGUAGAUAUCAGAAGGAACGCCGGCGGCGAAAGCGAUUCUCUGGCCUAUUACUGACACUCAGUGUGCGAAAGCUAGGGGAGCAAACGGGAUUAGAUACCCCGGUAGUCCUAGCCGUAAACGAUGGGCACUAAGUAGAGGGGUUUU